Molecule: transfer RNA, 74 nt
Filed under: Aeromonas phage phiAS5
Lineage: Duplodnaviria; Heunggongvirae; Uroviricota; Caudoviricetes; Pantevenvirales; Straboviridae
Rfam family: tRNA
About the family: Transfer RNA (tRNA) molecules are approximately 80 nucleotides in length. Their secondary structure includes four short double-helical elements and three loops (D, anti-codon, and T loops). Further hydrogen bonds mediate the characteristic L-shaped molecular structure. tRNAs have two regions of fundamental functional importance: the anti-codon, which is responsible for specific mRNA codon recognition, and the 3' end, to which the tRNAs corresponding amino acid is attached (by aminoacyl-tRNA synthetases). tRNAs cope with the degeneracy of the genetic code in two manners: having more than one tRNA (with a specific anti-codon) for a particular amino acid; and 'wobble' base-pairing, i.e. permitting non-standard base-pairing at the 3rd anti-codon position.
Source: Rfam by way of RNAcentral
CGGGGCGUAGCUCAGUUGGAUAGAGCAUGUGCCUUCUAAGCACACGGUCGCUGGUUCGAGCCCAGUCGCCUCGG